UACGUAGGCAGCAAGCGUUGUUCGGAAUUACUGGGCGUAAAGGGCUCGUAGGCGGCCAACUAAGUCAGACGUGAAAUCCCUCGGCUUAACCGGGGAACUGCGUCUGAUACUGGAUGGCUUGAGUUUGGGAGAGGGAUGCGGAAUUCCAGGUGUAGCGGUGAAAUGCGUAGAUAUCUGGAGGAACACCGGUGGCGAAGGCGGCAUCCUGGACCAACACUGACGCUGAGACGCGAAAGCGUGGGGAGCAAACAGG
Molecule: ribosomal RNA, 253 nt
Filed under: uncultured bacterium
Lineage: Bacteria
Description: partial 16S ribosomal RNA
Rfam family: Bacterial small subunit ribosomal RNA
Source: RNAcentral